Peromyscus maniculatus bairdii (prairie deer mouse) is the source of this 104-nucleotide small nuclear RNA. The record is from Ensembl. Lineage: Eukaryota; Metazoa; Chordata; Mammalia; Rodentia; Cricetidae.
GUGCUCACUUCAGCAGCACAUAUACUAAAAUUGGAACGAUACAGAGAUUAGCAUGGCCCCUGCACAAGGAUGACAUGCAAAUUCACAAAGUGCUCCAUAUAUUU